This 492-nucleotide ribosomal RNA is filed under the name uncultured bacterium. RNAcentral describes it as "partial 16S ribosomal RNA". It matches the Rfam family "Bacterial small subunit ribosomal RNA", at positions 29 to 507 of the family's 1533-position model. The record is from RNAcentral.
AGUGAACGCUGGCGGUAGGCCUAACACAUGCAAGUCGAACGGCAGCACAGUAAGAGCUUGCUCUUACGGGUGGCGAGUGGCGGACGGGUGAGGAAUACAUCGGAAUCUACUUUUUCGUGGGGGAUAACGUAGGGAAACUUACGCUAAUACCGCAUACGACCUACGGGUGAAAGCAGUGGAUCUUCGGACCUUGCGCGAUUGAAUGAGCCGAUGUCGGAUUAGCUAGUUGGCGGGGUAAAGGCCCACCAAGGCGACGAUCCGUAGCUGGUCUGAGAGGAUGAUCAGCCACACUGGAACUGAGGCACGGUCCAGACUCCUACGGGAGGCAGCAGUGGGGAAUAUUGGACAAUGGGCGCAAGCCUGAUCCAGCCAUACCGCGUGGGUGAAGAAGGCCUUCGGGUUGUAAAGCCCUUUUGUUGGGAAAGAAAAGCAGCAGGUUAAUACCCCGCUGUUCUGACGGUACCCAAAGAAUAAGCACCGGCUAACUUCGUG